Molecule: ribosomal RNA, 372 nt
Filed under: uncultured organism
Description: partial 16S ribosomal RNA
Rfam family: Bacterial small subunit ribosomal RNA
Source: RNAcentral
GUAGGGUGCAAGCGUUGUUCGGAAUUAUUGGGCGUAAAGCGCGUGUAGGUGGCUAUGCAAGUCGGGUGUGAAAUCCCUCGGCUCAACCGAGGAAGUGCAUCCGAAACUACAUAGCUAGAGGACGGUAGAGGGAGGUGGAAUUCCUAGUGUAGAGGUGAAAUUCGUAGAUAUUAGGAGGAACAUCUGUGGCGAAGGCGGCCUCCUGGGCCGUUCCUGACACUGAGACGCGAAAGCGUGGGUAGCAAACAGGGAUUAGAUACCCUGGUAGUCCACGCCGUAAACGAUGAGUACUAGAUGUUGUGGGUAUUGACCCCUACAGUGUCGCCGCUAACGCAUUAAGUACUCCGCCUGGGAAGUACGGUCGCAAGAUUA